GUGGGGAUAGGUGAGUGGUAGAGGAGAGGAGGGAAAA
This 37-nucleotide transfer RNA is filed under the name Corallorhiza odontorhiza. Its description in RNAcentral is "partial tRNA-Phe". The record is from RNAcentral. Lineage: Eukaryota; Viridiplantae; Streptophyta; Magnoliopsida; Asparagales; Orchidaceae.